RNAcentral lists this ribosomal RNA (666 nucleotides) under Triticum aestivum (bread wheat). RNAcentral's name for it is "partial small subunit ribosomal RNA". Lineage: Eukaryota; Viridiplantae; Streptophyta; Magnoliopsida; Poales; Poaceae. The record is from RNAcentral.
AUGAGCGAGGUAUUCGAGGGCUACGAGCGCCAGUACUGCGAGGAAUCCGCUUCCCUCUCCCGCAAGUGCACCGCCGCCUCCGCUCUCGAUGGAGAGAAGAAGAAGCAGAGGCUCUCCGAGAUCCAGUCCGGCGUGCAGGAAGCUGAAUCGCUGAUUCGGAGGAUGGACCUGGAGGCCAGGAAUACGCCGCCUAGCGUGAAAGCGGGUUUGCUAGCUAAGCUGCGGGAGUACAAAUCUGACCUUAACAACCUCAAGAGCGAGCUCAAGAGGAUCUCGGCGCCCAAUGCCAGGCAAACUACCAAGGAGGAGCUCCUUGAGUCUGGCAUGGCUGACACACUCGCGGUGUCCACUGAUCAGCGAGGAAGGUUGAUGAUGACAACUGAAAGACUGAAUCAGUCCACUGACAGAAUUAAAGAGAGCCGAAGAACUAUGCUGGAGACAGAAGAACUUGGUGUGUCGAUUCUUCAGGAUCUUCAUCAACAACGGCAGUCACUACUGCAUGCUCACGAUACUUUGCAUGGGGUUGAUGAUAACGUUGGAAAGAGUAAGAAAAUCCUGUCGGCAAUGUCGAAGAGGAUGGACAGGAACAAGUGGAUCAUUGGUGGAAUCAUUUCAGCUCUUGUUGUGGCCAUCCUUAUCAUACUCUACUUUAAGCUCGCUCACUGA